RNAcentral lists this ribosomal RNA (402 nucleotides) under uncultured bacterium. RNAcentral's name for it is "bacterial SSU rRNA". It matches the Rfam family "Bacterial small subunit ribosomal RNA", at positions 355 to 749 of the family's 1533-position model. The record is from RNAcentral.
UGGGGAAUUUUGGACAAUGGGCGAAAGCCUGAUCCAGCAAUGCCGCGUGCAGGAUGAAGGCCCUCGGGUUGUAAACUGCUUUUGUACGGAACGAAAAGCCUGGGGCUAAUAUCCCCGGGUCAUGACGGUACCGUAAGAAUAAGCACCGGCUAACUACGUGCCAGCAGCCGCGGUAAUACGUAGGGUGCAAGCGUUAAUCGGAAUUACUGGGCGUAAAGCGUGCGCAGGCGGUUUUGUAAGACAGUGGUGAAAUCCCCGGGCUCAACCUGGGAACUGCCAUUGUGACUGCAAGGCUAGAGUGCGGCAGAGGGGGAUGGAAUUCCGCGUGUAGCAGUGAAAUGCGUAGAUAUGCGGAGGAACACCGAUGGCGAAGGCAAUCCCCUGGGCCUGCACUGACGCUCA